CACGUAGUUAGCCGUGGCUUAUUCAAGGGGUACCGUCUUCUGCUCUUCCCCCUUAAAAGAAGUUUACAACCCGAAAGCCUUCUUCCUUCACGCGGCGUUGCUGGGUCAGACUUGCGUCCAUUGCCCAAUAUUCCCCACUGCUGCCUCCCGUAGGAGUCUGGGCCGUAUCUCAGUCCCAAUGUGGCCGGCAACCUCUCAGUCCGGCUACUGAUCGUCGCCUUGGUGGGCCGUUACCUCACCAACUAGCUAAUCAGACGCGAGGCCAUCUUCCAGCGAUAAAUCUUUGACAUGUCUGUGAUGCCGCAGUCAUGCGUCAUGCGGUAUUAGCAGUCGUUUCCAACUGUUGUCCCCCUCUGGAAGGCAGGUUCCUCACGCGUUACUCACCAGUCCGCCACUAAGCAACUCAAUCCAUUGUCCGUAAAACUCUUUCAUUGAGCGCUCCGUUCGACUUGCAUGUGUUAAGCACGCCGCCAGCGUGUCUGACGCGAGACUACGUAAA
This 499-nucleotide ribosomal RNA is filed under the name uncultured Oscillibacter sp. Its description in RNAcentral is "partial 16S ribosomal RNA". The record is from RNAcentral. Lineage: Bacteria; Bacillati; Bacillota; Clostridia; Eubacteriales; Oscillospiraceae.